Molecule: non-coding RNA, 127 nt
Organism: Streptomyces sp. HCCB10043
Lineage: Bacteria; Bacillati; Actinomycetota; Actinomycetes; Kitasatosporales; Streptomycetaceae
Source: Rfam
AGAUGAGAGAAACACCUCGGCCCCGGGAAACCGCGGCCGACUCCGGGUCGGGGCUUCCCCAGCACCGUCCGGGGCGUGCGUUCGCGCAUGCCGGAGCCGAUGGCUCCGGGACUCCUCACCGAUCGGA